ACGCCGGGUUGACCUCGGGAUGGGGCAGCCAGCCCCCCAGCGUCUGGGCGAGGCGGGCCGCGUCACGCAGCCCCAGGUUCAGGCCCUGGCCGGCGACC
RNAcentral lists this transfer RNA (98 nucleotides) under Achromobacter insolitus. Its description in RNAcentral is "tRNA-Trp". The record is from RNAcentral. Lineage: Bacteria; Pseudomonadati; Pseudomonadota; Betaproteobacteria; Burkholderiales; Alcaligenaceae.